RNAcentral lists this ribosomal RNA (264 nucleotides) under Triticum aestivum (bread wheat). RNAcentral's name for it is "partial small subunit ribosomal RNA". Lineage: Eukaryota; Viridiplantae; Streptophyta; Magnoliopsida; Poales; Poaceae. The record is from RNAcentral.
AUGGCCUCUCCACUUAUGAAAAAUAAUGCAUGGCCAUUCUCAUGGCCGUUGAGCAAUGGCGCCCUUACCUGCACAACGAUGAAUUCAUCAUCCCUACAGAUCAGAGGAGUCUCAUACAUCUUGAUGAUCAGCAUCUGUCCACCCCGUGGCAGCAGAAGGCAUUCACCAAGCUGCUCGGGAUGCGUUACAAAAUCUGCUACCGACCCGGACCUUCAAACACUCUUGCUGAUGCGCUCUCGCGCCGCACCCCAGAGGAGUUUGUGA